GGAUCCAGACUUUGAUUCUGGCUCAGGAUGAACGCUAGCUACAGGCUUAACACAUGCAAGUCGAGGGGAAACGACAUCGAAAGCUUGCUUUUGAUGGGCGUCGACCGGCGCACGGGUGAGUAACGCGUAUCCAACUGCCCAUCACUUGGGGAUAACCUUGCGAAAGUAAGACUAAUACCCAAUGACGUCUCUAGAAGACAUCUGAAAGGGAUUAAAGAUUUAUCGGUGAUGGAUGGGGAUGCGUCUGAUUAGCUUGUUGGCGGGGUAACGGCCCACCAAGGCUACGAUCAGUAGGGGUUCUGAGAGGAAGGUCCCCCACAUUGGAACUGAGACACGGUCCAAACUCCUACGGGAGGCAGCAGUGAGGAAUAUUGGUCAAUGGACGAGAGUCUGAACCAGCCAAGUAGCGUGCAGGAUGACGGCCCUAUGGGUUGUAAACUGCUUUUAUAAGGGAAUAAAGUGAGUCUCGUGAGACUUUUUGCAUGUACCUUAUGAAUAAGGACCGGCUAAUUCCGUGCCAGCAGCCGCGGUAAUACGGAAGGUCCGGGCGUUAUCCGGAUUUAUUGGGUUUAAAGGGAGCGUAGGCCGGAGAUUAAGCGUGUUGUGAAAUGUAGAUGCUCAACAUCUGCACUGCAGCGCGAACUGGUUUCCUUGAGUACGCACAAAGUGGGCGGAAUUCGUGGUGUAGCGGUGAAAUGCUUAGAUAUCACGAAGAACUCCGAUUGCGAAGGCAGCUCACUGGAGCGCAACUGACGCUGAAGCUCGAAAGUGCGGGUAUCGAACAGGAUUAGAUACCCUGGUAGUCCGCACGGUAAACGAUGGAUGCCCGCUGUUGGUCUGAAUAGGUCAGCGGCCAAGCGAAAGCAUUAAGCAUCCCACCUGGGGAGUACGCCGGCAACGGUGCAACUCAAAUGAAUUGACGG
RNAcentral lists this ribosomal RNA (923 nucleotides) under uncultured bacterium. RNAcentral describes it as "bacterial SSU rRNA". It matches the Rfam family "Bacterial small subunit ribosomal RNA", at positions 1 to 916 of the family's 1533-position model. The record is from RNAcentral.